RNAcentral lists this ribosomal RNA (1939 nucleotides) under human gut metagenome. Its description in RNAcentral is "bacterial LSU rRNA". It matches the Rfam family "Bacterial large subunit ribosomal RNA", at positions 554 to 2543 of the family's 2925-position model. The record is from RNAcentral.
AACCCUAUGUUUACAAGCAGACAAAGCACGUUAAGGUGCGAUGUCGUACUUUUUGUAGAACGGUCCGGCGAGUUAUUUUAUAUGGCAAGGUUAAGUACUGAAGGUACGAAGCCGAAGGGAAACCGAGUGUUAAUAGCGCGUAUAAGUCAUAUGAAAUAGACCCGAAACCGAGUGACCUAACCAUGUCCAGGAUGAAGCUUGAGUAAAAUCAAGUGGAGGUCCGAACUCAUAGACGUUAAAAAGUCUCGGGAUGAGGUGUGGUUAGCGGAGAAAUUCCAAUCGAACUCGGAGAUAGCUGGUUCUCCUCGAAAUAGUUUUAGGACUAGCCUUGAGAGAAUAAUGCGCGGGGGUAGAGCACUGAAUGAGCUAGGGGUCAAACCUGAUUACCGAACUCUAUCAAACUCCGAAUACCGUGUAGAGGAAACUCAGGAGUCAGACUGCGGGAGCUAAGUUCCGUGGUCAAAAGGGAAAGAGCCCAGAUCGUCAAAUAAGGUCCCAAAGAUAUAGUUAAGUGGAAAACGAUGUGAUUUUGCGUAAACAACCAGGAUGUUGGCUCAGAAGCAGCCACCCAUUUAAAGAGUGCGUAAUAGCUCACUGGUCGAGUGAAGUUGCGCGGAAAAUUACCGGGGCUAAACUAUACACCGAAUUUGCGGAUUUGUUACUUGAAAGAUAGUAAUAAGUGGUAGAGGAGCAUUCUAAGAGGACGAAGCAUAACUGAAAGGAUAUGUGGACGAAAUAGAAGAGAGAAUGCCGGAAUAAGUAGCGAAAGCAUAGUGAGAAUCUAUGCCAUCGAAAGUCUAAGGUUUCCUGGGGAAGGUUCGUCCGCCCAGGGUAAGUCGGGACCUAAGGAGAGGCCGAAAAGCGUAUCCGAUGGACAGCAGGUAGAGAUUCCUGCACUACGAUAUAUUUAGAAACUAUAACUGACACAGGAAUGGAAGGUAAGCGAGGAAGAGGAAAAACUCGUAUCGAAAGAUAUAGUGAAAAUAAGUAACGAAUUACCAAGAAAUACACUGGCGAGAAAAGGUUGUAGAAAUUGUAUAUAGUACCCGUACCGCAAACCGACACAGGUAGAUGAGGAGAAGAUCCUAAGAUGAGCGAGAGAAGCAUUGUUAAGGAACUCGGCAAACUGACCCCGUAACUUAGGGAGAAGGGGUGCCAAGGUAAAACUUGGUCGCAGAGAAUAGUCCCAAGCAACUGUUUAACAAAAACAUAGGUUUCUGCUAAAUCGAAAGAUGAAGUAUAGGAGCUGACACCUGCCCAGUGCUGGAAGGUUAAGAGGAGAUGUUAGAGUAAUCGAAGCAUUGAAUUCAAGCCCCAGUGAACGGCGGCCGUAACUAUAACGGUCCUAAGGUAGCGAAAUUCCUUGUCAGGUAAGUUCUGACCCGCACGAAAGGUGUAAUGAUUUGGGAGCUGUCUCGACAAUGUACUCGGCGAAAUUGUAGUACUAGUGAAGAUGCUAGUUACCUGCGACAAGACAGAAAGACCCCAUGGAGCUUUACUGCAACUUGAUACUGGGUCUAGGUAAUUUAUGUACAGGAUAGGUGGGAGACUAUGAAACUUUGGCGCUAGCUGAAGUGGAGUCAUCCUUGGGAUACCACCCUUAAGUUACUUGGAUUCUAACCUGCCGUCAUAAACUGGCGGGGGGACAAUGUCAGGUGGGCAGUUUGACUGGGGCGGUCGCCUCCUAAAGAGUAACGGAGGCGCGCAAAGGUUUCCUCAGCGCGGACAGAAAUCGCGCGAAAGAGUGCAAAGGCAGAAGGAAGCUUAACUGAGAGACUGACAAGUCGACCAGAUACGAAAGUAGGUCUUAGUGAUCCGGUGGUUGUAAGUGGAAAUGCCAUCGCUCAACGGACAAAAGUUACCCUGGGGAUAACAGGCUUAUCUCCCCCAAGAGUUCACAUCGACGGGGAGGUUUGGCACCUCGAUGUCGGCUCAUCAC